This 253-nucleotide ribosomal RNA is filed under the name uncultured bacterium. RNAcentral describes it as "partial 16S ribosomal RNA". It matches the Rfam family "Bacterial small subunit ribosomal RNA", at positions 524 to 776 of the family's 1533-position model. The record is from RNAcentral.
UACGGAGGGGGCUAGCGUUGUUCGGAAUUACUGGGCGUAAAGGGCGCGUAGGCGGCGUGUCAAGUCAGGCGUGAAAGCCCCGGGCUCAACCUGGGAACCGCGCUUGAGACUGGCAUGCUCGAGUUCGGGAGAGGAUGGUGGAAUUCCCAGUGUAGAGGUGAAAUUCGUAGAUAUUGGGAAGAACACCGAUGGCGAAGGCAGCCAUCUGGACCGACACUGACGCUGAGGCGCGAAAGCGUGGGGAGCAAACAGG